Molecule: transfer RNA, 69 nt
Filed under: Plecotus auritus (brown big-eared bat)
Lineage: Eukaryota; Metazoa; Chordata; Mammalia; Chiroptera; Vespertilionidae
Description: tRNA-Lys
Rfam family: tRNA
About the family: Transfer RNA (tRNA) molecules are approximately 80 nucleotides in length.
Source: RNAcentral
UCAUUAAGAAGCUAAUCAGCGCUAACCUUUUAAGUUAGAGAAUGGAAGUCUAAGUCUUUCCUUAAUGAU